GUGAGAGACAGAGAGAAAGGUCUUCCUUUUGCCGUUGGUUCACCCUCCAAUGGCAGCCACGGCUGGCGCGCUGCAGCCGGCGCACCGCACUGAUCCAAUGGCAGGAGCCAGGUGCUUCUCCUGGUCUCCCAUGGGGUGCAGGGCCCAAGCACUUGGGCCAUCCUCCAUUGCCUUCCCGGGCCACAGCAGAGAGCUGGCCUGGAAGAGGGCAACCGGGACAGAAUCCGGCGCCCCAACUGGGACUAGAACCCGGUGUGCCGGCGCCGCAAGACGGAGGAUUAGCCUACUGAGCCGCGGCGCCAGCCCUUAAUUUUGUCUUAAUUAAAACUGAAAGUAGGGAUGGGUAUUGUGGCACAGUAGGAUAAGCCUCUCCUUGGAGUGCCCACAUCUUCUAUCAGAGUACCUGGGAUUGUGUCCCAGCUACUCCACUUCUGAUCCAGGUUCCUACUAGUGUGUCUGGGAAGCAGCAGAUGAUGGCCCAAGUACUUGGGUUUGUGCCACCCUCUUGGAAGACUUGGAGUUUCUGGCUCCUGGCUUUGCCCUGGCUAUUGUGGGCAUUGAGGAGUGAAUAAGCAGAUGGAAAAUCUCUUCCUGCCUCUCCCUCUCUCUCUCUGCCAGUCUUCCUUUCCAAUAAAUAACUCUUUUUUAAUAAACUGAAAAUAUUCCUAGCCUAUUUAACAAUUAUCUCAAUACUAUUAAUUGAAAAAUUCAUCUAUUUUACACUGAAAUGAAAUGCCCCUUGUGGUAGACCAUGUCUAGUCUUGAUUACUGAAAGACCUGAAGUAAACAUGAAUAUAAAACUCCAAGGCCCUGCACUGUGGCAUAGCAGGUAAAGCUGUUGCCUGUGGAGCCAGCGUCCUCUCUGAGGAAAGAUUUGAGUCCUGGCUAUUCCACUUCCAGUCCAGCAUCCCUGCUAAUGUUCCUGGGAAAGCAGUGGAAGAUGGCCCAAGUGCUUGACCUUUGAACCCAUAUGAGAGACUCAAAAGAAGCUCUUGGCUUUGGAUCAGCUCAGCUCCAGCUGUUGUAGCCAUUUGGGGAGUGAACCAGUGGGUGGAAGAAAUCUCUCUCUCUCUACCUGUUCCUCUCUCUGUGUAAGUCUGCCUUACAAAUAAAUAAAAUAAAUCUUAAAAAUAAAAAGGAAAACUCUAAGAUGUUAUAACUAGGUAAAACUAGAUUGCCCAAAAUACUGGCAAUAUGAAUUUUCAAGGCCUAGAACUUGUGUAUUAGGCCUGAGUGACAUGGUUUACUGAAAAGCAGUGAUAAUGCUUUAUUUAGUGGUGAAUCUGUUUCUGGUGCAGAAAUAGGCAAGGCUGUACAAGGCAGUGAGCACUCAAAUCUGGUGGAUAUUUCAUUCUGUACAGGUUGCCAAAACUGAUGAACUUGGGGGAUGCCUUUAUGAGAAUGUAAGAAAGGCAAUGGGGAUCCUCACCCACAUGCAUCCUCACCUCACUAACAUCCUAUGUAUCCUAACUGCUAAAUUUCUCAGGAGUCUGGAGGGUGAACCAACGGCAAAAGGAAUACCUUUCUCUCUGUCUCUCUCUCUCACUUUCCAUUCUGCCUGUCCAAAAAAAAAAAAAAAAAAAAAAAAAUUCUCAGGAGUCAACUAAAAUAAUUGGAACCUUAAAUAGAGUCCCUAUCAACAUUUUCAUCCACCUCUCAACCUAGAGUUUAUCUCACUCCAUAAAUUCCAUAUAUAAAUUCCAUAUAUAUGUAGGUCUGUUUUUGGAUUCUUCAUUCUAGCAUAUUAACAUUUUUAUCCCUUUAUCAGCCUUAUGCUGUUUUAUUUCUUGUUGCCUUAUAUUUUGAUAGAAUAUUGGGCUAAUCUCCCACUUCAUUCUUCUUCAAAACAAUCUAGAAUGUGCUGCCAUAAAUUUUAGAAACAAGCUGUCAGACUAUGAGGAGUUCUAUAGAUAUUUUGGUUUUUGGUAGAAUUGGAAAAGAAUUUAUAGGAUAACUAGAGAACUGACUUGUGGUAUUUGGGAAAGUUGCUUAUUUCUUGUUUGUUGAUCUUAAAUCUGACCAUAUCACUUAACUUCUGGAUUUUAUGUGUAGAUUCUCAUAUCACCAAGAUUUUAUCUAUAUAUAUAUAAUGAUUAUAUACUAUAAUAUAUAUAUAAUGAUUAAAAGUCAUACUCUGAAAUCAGACUGCUUGGGUUUAUUUUCUGGAUCUACCAUUUACUAGCCAAGUAACUCAACACCUCUAUUAUUUCAUCUCAUCUUUAAGGAUAGAUCUGGGGUCCAGCACUGUAGUGUAGCAGGUAAAGCUACCACCUGCAGUACUGCCAUCCCAUAUGGGCACCAGUUUGAGUCCUGGCUGCCCCUCUUCCGAUCCAGCUCUCUGCUAUGGCCUGGGAAAGCAGUAGAGGAUGGCCCAAGACCUUAGGUCCCUGCACCUGCCUGGGAGACCUGGGAAAAGCUCCUGGCUCCUGGCUCCUUGCUUCAGAUCAGAUCUGCACAGUUCCAGCCCUUGCAGACAAUUGGGGAGUGAGCCAGCAGAUGAAAGACCUCUCUCUCUGUCUGUGCCUCUGCCUUUCUGAAACUCCGCCUUCCAAAUAAAUAAAUAAAAUCUUUAAAAAAAAAUAAAUCUGAUACUAAUGCCUACUUUGUAAGGUGACUUUAUUUUUUAAAAAAUUUUUUUAUUUGACAGGUAGAGUUAUAGACAGAGAGAGACAAAGAGAAAGGUCUUCCUUCCGUUGGUUCACCCUCCAAAUGACCGCUACAGCCGGCACUGCGCCGAUCUGAAGCCAGGGGCCAGGUACUUCUUCCUGAUCUCCCAUGCAGGUGCAGGACCCAAACACUUGGGCCAUCCUCCACUGCCUUCCUGGGCCACAGCAGAGAGCUGGACUGGAAGAGGAGCAACCGGGACUAGAACCCAGUACCCAUAUGGAAUGCUGGCACCGCAGGUGGAGGAUCAACCAAGUGAGCCACCACGCCGGCCCAUAAGGUGACUUUAAAGAUCAAAUGAGUCAAAGCAUUUCAUAUAAAAAUGUAAUCACCAAGAGGGAAGAGAAUUUGGAUUGUUUCCCACUUGGCCCCAAUGUCCAGGACAGUGCCUUCUACACAGGCCAGGAGAAAGCCCUCUGGAAGGAGUUUCCUGUGUGUGUCCUGCCCACAGGCCCUGGAGGAAAUGAGGACUUGUACCGCAAGGAUCUUCACCACCAGAGGAAUGCUGAAGGUUGGGAAGUCCAAGAUGAAGGCUCUGACAGACUUGUUUGCUGGGCUUAGGAUACACAGGUGAACAAAACAGCUGGAGAUCUCUGCCCUGGUGAGGCUCGGCAGGGGGGAAGAGCCAACGUGGUAUGACAUCAAGUGAUUGACGCUUUGGAAAGAUGGCAUCACCUGCCCCCGAGUGGUCAGGGUGGUUACUACGGCACCAGGAACUUAGCCCUGGCAGAUGUGGAAUCUGUGACCAAGGCCUCAGGAUGACUUGAGACCUCCCCACACACACCUGACACCAGGCCUCGAACUGCUGUUGCAUCUGCUCAAGGAUUUCUUUCUCAUUCUGGAAUUCCGUAGCACCAAACCUUUAUCAAGGGCCUCCUGAAUCUCUGAUGACUGAGUGAGCUUCCAGCCUGUGGGCCCCUGAGACAUAAGAUGUCCAGCUCUCAGCCUAUAGUGUGGCCUUCACCAUGGCUAUCAGGGCCUUCUCCCAUUGCACGUGCUACGUGUGGUCGUGUACGGAGAUCACGAUCGUCUGUGACUUCAUGAGACCUACCU
Molecule: non-coding RNA, 3717 nt
Organism: Oryctolagus cuniculus (rabbit)
Lineage: Eukaryota; Metazoa; Chordata; Mammalia; Lagomorpha; Leporidae
Source: RefSeq, a predicted model, not a curated record